GGGGGAAUCUUCCGCAAUGGGGCGCAAGCCUGACGGAGCAACGCCGCGUGAGUGAAGAAGGGUUUCGACUCGUAAAGCUCUGUUGUCGGGGACGAAUGUGGAGAUGGUGAAUAACUAUUUUCAAUGACGGUACCUGACGAGGAAGCCACGGCUAACUACGUGCCAGCAGCCGCGGUAAUACGGAAGGUCCGGGCGUUAUCCGGAUUUAUUGGGUUUAAAGGGAGCGUAGGCCGUCUGUUAAGCGUGUUGUGAAAUGUCGGGGCUCAACCUGGGCAUUGCAGCGCGAACUGGCAGACUUGAGUGCGCAGGAAGUAGGCGGAAUUCGUCGUGUAGCGGUGAAAUGCUUAGAUAUGACGAAGAACUCCGAUUGCGAAGGCAGCCUGCUGUAGCGUAACUGACGCUGAAGCUCGAAAGCGUGGGUAUCGAACAGGAUUAGAUACCCUGGUAGU
Molecule: ribosomal RNA, 449 nt
Filed under: uncultured Prevotella sp.
Lineage: Bacteria; Pseudomonadati; Bacteroidota; Bacteroidia; Bacteroidales; Prevotellaceae
Description: bacterial SSU rRNA
Rfam family: Bacterial small subunit ribosomal RNA
Source: RNAcentral